Micropterus salmoides (largemouth bass) is the source of this 1679-nucleotide RNA transcript. It is a transcript of the gene named putative zinc finger protein 66, with no coding region annotated. The record is from RefSeq and is a predicted model, not a curated record. The transcript has 2 exons. Lineage: Eukaryota; Metazoa; Chordata; Actinopteri; Centrarchiformes; Centrarchidae.
UCUCCAUUCUCUAACCCUGUCCUCUUCUCUUCUCUCUAUAAUAUCUGUGUAACUCCUCUACAUGUUGUAAGAUAUAGCAGGACUGCACUCAUCUGUAAAAACACUAUUUCUGCACUCCUGGUUAGAUGCAAACUGCAUUUCAGUAGCUCUGUACCUCUAAAGAUCCGCCCCCCUUCAAACAGCUGGUACUCCCAUCACUACAGAGUCUGCACGAGCAGCGCAUGCUCCUGGGUCCAGUCUGAUAGAGACGAGAUGGCGGCAGCAGCGUCUAAGAGGAUGAGCGUCCGACAGAGAGUUCCUGCUAAGAGCGACCGGGACCGGACCAGCCAGGAAGUCAGCACCGGGGUGAGUACCUGGCUCUGGGACCAGUGUGACAGUUUAAUUGGUUGCCACAUGAACUGGGGAUGUUACUGCAGAAGUUCAUGCGGUCGCUCUGAUUUGUGCCCUGGUGGUUUUUAAUCUGUGUGUGUGCUGACAUCCAGCCUGUACGGGCAACAGGAUGAGGGAUUUGUUGAGUCCAGAUCGCCGUUGAGUCAGGACGCUGAAGUUAGCUUCCAGUUCUGCACUUAAGGGAAAGUUAACUUACUGCUGAGCUUUUGCUCCUCUUGUUGUGAAAGCUGUCAGACAUUUUAAGUUUAACUCUGUCUGAAAAUCCAAAAAAGAAACUUCCCCAUCGUAGGACUACUAGGAAAAGAUGUGAGUCCGGCUGGACCUGCUGGGACUUUGUAAACAAAUCUGAGGCGCUAAAUCUGUACUGUCAGUGUGUUUUCUAUAGAGAGCAAAACAUAGUGAGGGCUACAUGGAAAGGAGGGCAGAAGAAGGAAGGAAAGAUACAGAAAGACAGAGAGAAGCAAACUGAGACAAACAUUUGGAAGGUUUAGUAGUUAAAGGACUGCAGCCCCAAGUUGUAGCAGUAUCUUGGAGCUGAAUUUUUCUCUUUAGUGUUUAUUCAGAAUAUUUAAUAAUUCACAGACUCAGCUUUAAGAUUUCUUUAUUUGACUGUUCUGCAGAAUGAAGUGAUGCAGUCCUGAAAAUCAAGCUCUUCACAGUCCUCCCAAAGCACACUCUGUACUGCCCUCCCUUUCCAGGACGUCCUCUCCAUAUUUGGUCCAGUCCAGUCAGUAUCUCUGAACCUACAAUGAAUCACUCUGAGAACUUGGCCGGAAAAGUAGUUUAGUGCACAUUCCAACGAGAUCGCUUCAUCCUGUUCCUCACAUGUUGGCCAGAGUCCAAGGAAACCCAACCUAACAGAAAAACAUCUGGUUUCUAGUUUUUCAGAAAAACAGAGAGGAAGAGAUGGACUUAAACAACACCACUGUGACAAAUCCUUCAGAACAUCUGGACAGUCAAAGAAUCAUCGGAGAGUUCACACUGGAGAGAAACCGUACAGCUGUGACCAGUGUGGGAAGGUUUUCUCUACUUUAAGUAAUCUAAAAAGUCACAAAUAUGUUCACAUGGGGGAGAAACCGUACUGGUGUGAGCAGUGUGGGAAAUAUUUUACCCGAUCAUUGGAGCUAAAAAUUCACCAACGCAUUCACACGGGAGAGAAAGCGUACCGGUGUGAACAGCGUGGGAAAAGAUUUACUCACAGUAAAACCCUGAAACGGCACCAAUGCGGUCACGCUGCAUCGCUGUAAACAUUUUUCAGAGCCAAGCUAGCUCUUGCCUGCUGCCUCCUC